Molecule: ribosomal RNA, 468 nt
Filed under: uncultured bacterium
Lineage: Bacteria
Description: partial 16S ribosomal RNA
Rfam family: Bacterial small subunit ribosomal RNA
Source: RNAcentral
GACGAACGCUGGCGGCGUGCUUAACACAUGCAAGUCGAACGGAAAGGCCCUGCUUUUGUGGGGUGCUCGAGUGGCGAACGGGUGAGUAACACGUGAGUAACCUGCCCUUGACUUUGGGAUAACUUCAGGAAACUGGGGCUAAUACCGGAUAGGAGCUCCUGCUGCAUGGUGGGGGUUGGAAAGUUUCGGCGGUUGGGGAUGGACUCGCGGCUUAUCAGCUUGUUGGGGGGGUAGUGGCUUACCAAGGCUUUGACGGGUAGCCGGCCUGAGAGGGUGACCGGCCACAUGGGUACUACGAUAGGGCGCAGACUGCUACAGGGGGCAGAAGUGGAAAAUAUUGCACAAUGGGGGGAAGUCUGAGGAGGCAGCGCCGCGAGCGGGAAGACGGCCUUCGGGUUGUAAACCGCUUUCGCCUGUGACGAAGCGUGAGUGACGGUAAUGGGUAAAGAAGCACCGGCUAACUACGUG